Molecule: long non-coding RNA, 213 nt
Organism: Xenia sp. Carnegie-2017
Lineage: Eukaryota; Metazoa; Cnidaria; Anthozoa; Malacalcyonacea; Xeniidae
Exons: 3
Source: RefSeq, a predicted model, not a curated record
GCUCAAACAUGAUGAGUAUUGCGUCUACAUCAGGAUCUACUUCUUACGAAAAGAUAUCUUUGCCAUCUCCCAUGAGUGACAACGACUAUGACAACAUUGACAAAACUCCUUCUACAGCAGUACUUGAUGAUAAUAACAGUGAAGACAUGAUUGGUGUUUCGCCUUCCACAUCAAAACCAGGUUAGCAAAAGAAUUUUGUUAAAAAACAUUUGC